AGAGUUUGAUCAUGGCUCAGGAUAAACGCUGGCGGCGUGCAUUAGACAUGCAAGUCGAACGAAUGACCUCGAGCUUGCUCGGGGAAGUGAGUGGCGAACGGCUGAGUAACGCGUGGGUGACCUGCCCAGAAGUGGGGAAUAACUGCCCGAAAGGGUGGCUAAUACCGCAUGUGGUCAUAGGUUCGUUCCUAUGAUCAAAGCCUUCGGGCGCUUCUGGAGGGGCCUGCGUUCGAUUAGCUCGUUGGUGAGGUAACGGCUCACCAAGGCGACGAUCGAUAGGUGGUCUGAGAGGAUGAUCACCCAGACUGGGACUGAGACACGGCCCAGACUCCUACGGGAGGCAGCAGUCGGGAAUUUUGCUCAAUGGGGGAAACCCUGAAGCAGCAACGCCGCGUGAGGGAUGAAGGCCUUCGGGUUGUAAACCUCUUUUCUCAGGGACGAUAAUGACGGUACCUGAGGAAUAAGCCACGGCUAACUACGUGCCAGCAGCCGCGGUAAUACGUAGGUGGCAAGCGUUGUCCGGAUUUACUGGGCGUAAAGAGCGCGCAGGCGGCCAAGUCAGUCGAAUGUGAAAGCCCCCGGCUCAACUGGGGAACGUCAUCCGAUACUGCUUGGCUUGAAGAUGGGAGAGGGAAGCGGAAUUUCAGGUGUAGUGGUGAAAUGCGUAGAUAUCUGAAGGAACACCAGUGGCGAAGGCGGCUUUCUGGCCCAUUCUUGACGCUGAGGCGCGAAAGCUAGGGGAGCGAACGGGAUUAGAUACCCUAGUAGUCC
This 771-nucleotide ribosomal RNA is filed under the name uncultured bacterium. RNAcentral's name for it is "bacterial SSU rRNA". It matches the Rfam family "Bacterial small subunit ribosomal RNA", at positions 8 to 796 of the family's 1533-position model. The record is from RNAcentral.